GAUGAACGCUGGCGGCGUGCUUAACACAUGCAAGUCGAACGAACCUUCGGGUUAGUGGCGGACGGGUGAGUAACGCGUGAGAAUCUGCCCUCAGGAGGGGGACAACAGCUGGAAACGGCUGCUAAUACCCCAUAUGCCGCGAGGUGAAAUGAAUUUCGCCUGAGGAUGAGCUCGCGUCUGAUUAGCUAGUUGGUGUAGGUAAUGGCUCACCAAGGCAUCGAUCAGUAGCUGGUCUGAGAGGAUGAUCAGCCACACUGGGACUGAGACACGGCCCAGACUCCUACGGGAGGCAGCAGUGGGGAAUUUUCCGCAAUGGGCGAAAGCCUGACGGAGCAACGCCGCGUGAGGGAUGAAGGCCUCUGGGCUGUAAACCUCUUUUAUCAAGGAAGAAGAUCUGACGGUACUUGAUGGGUAAGCCACGGCUAAUUCCGUG
Molecule: ribosomal RNA, 433 nt
Filed under: uncultured bacterium
Lineage: Bacteria
Description: bacterial SSU rRNA
Rfam family: Bacterial small subunit ribosomal RNA
Source: RNAcentral